RNAcentral lists this transfer RNA (58 nucleotides) under Ictidomys tridecemlineatus (thirteen-lined ground squirrel). RNAcentral describes it as "Spermophilus tridecemlineatus (thirteen-lined ground squirrel) tRNA". It matches the Rfam family "tRNA", at positions 8 to 63 of the family's 71-position model. From Rfam's summary of the family: Transfer RNA (tRNA) molecules are approximately 80 nucleotides in length. Their secondary structure includes four short double-helical elements and three loops (D, anti-codon, and T loops). Further hydrogen bonds mediate the characteristic L-shaped molecular structure. tRNAs have two regions of fundamental functional importance: the anti-codon, which is responsible for specific mRNA codon recognition, and the 3' end, to which the tRNAs corresponding amino acid is attached (by aminoacyl-tRNA synthetases). tRNAs cope with the degeneracy of the genetic code in two manners: having more than one tRNA (with a specific anti-codon) for a particular amino acid; and 'wobble' base-pairing, i.e. permitting non-standard base-pairing at the 3rd anti-codon position. Lineage: Eukaryota; Metazoa; Chordata; Mammalia; Rodentia; Sciuridae. The record is from Rfam by way of RNAcentral.
UAGCUCAGUUGGUAGAGUGCUUGCCUUACAUGCACAAGUCCCUGGGUUCAAUCCCCAG